This 430-nucleotide ribosomal RNA is filed under the name Bacteroidota bacterium. RNAcentral's name for it is "Bacteroidetes bacterium partial 16S ribosomal RNA". It matches the Rfam family "Bacterial small subunit ribosomal RNA", at positions 355 to 776 of the family's 1533-position model. The record is from RNAcentral. Lineage: Bacteria; Pseudomonadati; Bacteroidota.
UAGGGAAUCUUCGGCAAUGGGUGGAACCCUGACCGAGCAACGCCGCGUGAGUGAAGAAGGUUUUCGGAUCGUAAAGCUCUGUUGUUAAGGAAGAACGAGUGUGAGAAUGGAAAGUUCAUACUGUGACGGUACUUAACCAGAAAGGGACGGCUAACUACGUGCCAGCAGCCGCGGUAAUACGUAGGUGGCAAGCGUUGUCCGGAUUUAUUGGGCGUAAAGCGAGCGCAGGCGGUCAAUUAAGUCUGAUGUGAAAGCCCCCGGCUCAACCGGGGAGGGUCAUUGGAAACUGGUUGACUUGAGUGCAGAAGAGGAGAGUGGAAUUCCAUGUGUAGCGGUGAAAUGCGUAGUUAUAUGGAGGAACACCAGUGGCGAAGGCGACUCUCUGGUCUGUAACUGACGCUGAGGCUCGAAAGCGUGGGUAGCAAACAGG